UUAAGUAAGGAAGGGCGUACGGCGAAUGCCUUGCCACUCGAAACUGAAGAAGGACGCGCCAAACUGCGAAAAGCUCCGUGAAGCUGUAAGGAAGCGAAGAAGCGGAGGUGUCCGAAUGGGGGAACCCGGCAGCAGACAUGAGCUGUCAUCUGCAGGUGAAUACAUGGCCUGCAAGAGAGGUACCCGGCGAACUGAAACAUCUAAGUAGCCGGAGGAAAAGAAAACAACAGUGAUUCCCUGAGUAGCGGCGAGCGAAAGGGGAGAAGCCCAAACCGGUUGAAGGACCGGGGUUGAAGGACCAUGACAUGGCAAGAACGAGGAUAGGAGAACGGGAUCGAAAGCCCGGCCGAAGAAGGUGAAAGCCCUGUAACCGAAAUCCGAGUAAAGCCUAAUGGGAUCCUGAGUACGGCGAGACACGAGAAAUCUUGUCGGAAGCAGGCGGGACCAUCCGCCAAGGCUAAAUAUAAACGAGUGAGCGAUAGUGAACCAGUACCGUGAGGGAAAGGUGAAAAGAACCGCGGGAGCGGAGUGAAAGAGAACCUGAAACCGUAUGCCUACAAGAAGUCAGAGCCCGUUAAGGGGUGAUGGCGUGCCUUUUGUAGAAUGAACCGGCGAGUUGCGACAGACUGCGAGGUUAAGGAGGAAAGACCGGAGCCGAAGCGAAAGCGAGUCUUAAGAGGGCGAAAGUAGGAUGUUGCAGACCCGAAACCGGGUGAUCUAGCCAUGAGCAGGUUGAAGUUGAGGUGAAACUCAAUGGAGGACCGAACCGACUACCGUUGAAAAGUUAGCGGAUGACUUGUGGCUAGGGGAGAAAUUCCAAUCGAACCCGGAGAUAGCUGGUUCUCCCCGAAAUAGCUUUAGGGCUAGCGUCGGAAAGAACCUUAGUGAAGGUAGAGCACUGAAUGUGUGAUGGCCCCAUCCCGGGGUACUGAAUACAAUCAAACUGCGAAUGUCAUUAAGGAUGUCCGGCAGUCAGACUGUGAGUGAUAAGGUCCAUGGUCAAGAGGGAAACAGCCCAGACCGCCAGUUAAGGUCCCAAAAUACAGGCUAAGUGGAAAAGGAUGUGGGGAUGCCCAGACAACUAGGAGGUUGGCUCAGAAGCAGCCAUCCUUUAAAGAGUGCGUAACAGCUCACUAGUCGAGUGACCCUGCGCCGAAAAUGUACCGGGGCUAAGCCUGAUACCGAAACUGCGGAUUGUAGGAAACUAUAGUGGUAGGGGAGCGUUGUAUACGAGCAGAAGCCGUACCGUGAGGAGCGGUGGAUUGUAUAGAAGUGAGAAUGCCGGUGUGAGUAGCGAGAUGUAGGUGAGAAUCCUACACACCGAAAGCCCAAGGAUUCCAGGGGAAGGUUCGUCCGCCCUGGGUAAGUCGGGACCUAACGCGAGGCCGAAAGGCGUAGUGGAUGGAAAGCAGGCGAAAGAUUCCUGCACCCGUAUAUGGAGCGAAGGAGUGACGGAGACGGAUAGUGUGACCCUCUUAAUGGAUUGAGGGCGAAGCGAAGCGGCUGGUUACCAGGCAAAUCCGGUAACCAAAAGGCUAGAGCGUGACAGGUAAGCGAAAUCUUAGGAAAGUAGCGAAGCACAUGAUGACGGCUUCCAGGAAAAGCUUCUGGCAAUGCAUAUGCGGCCCGUACCAAAACCGACACAGGUGGGCAGGGAGAGAAUCCCGAGGUGAGCGAGAGAACUGUUGCCAAGGAACUCGGCAAAAUGACUCCGUAAGUUAGCGAGAAGGAGUGCUUAAGCAAUUAAGCCGCAGUGAAGAGGCCCAAGCGACUGUUUAACUAAAACACAGCUCUCUGCGAAGUCGCAAGACGAAGUAUAGGGGGUGACACCUGCCCGGUGCUGGAAGGUUAAGAGGAUCUGUUAAGAGCGAUCUGAAGCAGUGAUCCGAAGCCCCAGUGAACGGCGGCCGUAACUAUAACGGUCCUAAGGUAGCGAAAUUCCUUGUCAGGUAAGUUCUGACCCGCACGAAAGGUGUAACGAUUUGGGCGCUGUCUCGGCAGCAGACUCGGUGAAAUCUUAGUACCUGUGAAAAUGCAGGUUACCCGCAACUAGACGGAAAGACCCCAUGGAGCUUUACUGCAGCCUGAUAUUGAAUUCUGGUCAUACAUGUACAGGAUAGGUGGGAGACAAAGAGACGUGCACGCCAGUGUACGAGGAGUCGACGUUGGGAUACCACUCUUGUGUGACCGGGGUUCUAACCUGGUAUCGAGAACAGGUACGGGGAGAGUGUCAGGUGGGCAGUUUGACUGGGGCGGUCGCCUCCCAAAGAGUAACGGAGGCGCCCAAAGGUACGCUCAGAUUGGAUGGAAACCAAUCGUCGAGUGCAAUUGCAGAAGCGUGCUUGACUGUGAGACAGACAAGUCGAACAGGGACGAAAGUCGGGAAUAGUGAUCCGGCGGUGCCGAAUGGAAGGGCCGUCGCUCAACGGAUAAAAGCUACCCUGGGGAUAACAGGC
This 2456-nucleotide ribosomal RNA is filed under the name human gut metagenome. RNAcentral's name for it is "bacterial LSU rRNA". It matches the Rfam family "Bacterial large subunit ribosomal RNA", at positions 3 to 2482 of the family's 2925-position model. The record is from RNAcentral.